This 301-nucleotide ribosomal RNA is filed under the name uncultured bacterium. RNAcentral's name for it is "partial 16S ribosomal RNA". It matches the Rfam family "Bacterial small subunit ribosomal RNA", at positions 509 to 807 of the family's 1533-position model. The record is from RNAcentral.
CAGUAGCCACGGGAAUACGAAGGGGGCUAGCGUUGUUCGGAUUUACUGGGCGUAAAGCGCACGUAGGCGGACUUUUAAGUCAGGGGUGAAAUCCCGGGGCUCAACCCCGGAACUGCCUUUGAUACUGGAAGUCUUGAGUAUGGUAGAGGUGAGUGGAAUUCCGAGUGUAGAGGUGAAAUUCGUAGAUAUUCGGAGGAACACCAGUGGCGAAGGCGGCUUACUGGACCAUUACUGACGCUGAGGUGCGAAAGCGUGGAGAGCAAACAGGAUUAGAUACCCCCGUAGUCCCUGUCUCUUAUAC